ACGGGGUAGUAAUGUGUCGGAACGUGCCCAGAGGACGGGGAUAGCGGCGGGAAACUGCCGGUAAUACCCGAUGAUCUCGAGAGAGCAAAGGUGUGAUUCCGCCUUUGGAGCGGCCGACAUGGUAUUAGCUAGUUGGCGGGGUAACGGCCCACCAAGGCUGUGAUGCCUAGGGGAUGUGAGAGCAUGAUCCCCACCAUUGGGACUGAGACACUGCCCAGACACCUACGGGUGGCUGCAGUCGAGAAUCUUCGUCAAUGGGCGAAAGCCUGAACGAGCGACGCCGCGUGCGGGAUGAAGGCCCUUGGGUUGUAAACCGCUGUCGAGGGGGAUGAAGGCAUUCAGGUACUCCUGAAUGUUUGACAGAGCCCUGGAGGAAGCACGGGCUAAGUUCGUGCCAGCAGCCGCGGUAAUACGAACUGUGCGAACGUUAUUCGGAAUCACUGGGCUUACAGGGUGCGUAGGCGGCCCAACAAGUCAGGUGUGAAAGCCCUCGGCUCAACCGAGGAACUGCGCUUGAAACUGUUAGGCUCGAGUCAGCUAGAGGUACACGGAACUUCCAGUGGAGCGGUGAAAUGUGUUGA
RNAcentral lists this ribosomal RNA (581 nucleotides) under uncultured bacterium. RNAcentral's name for it is "bacterial SSU rRNA". It matches the Rfam family "Bacterial small subunit ribosomal RNA", at positions 102 to 694 of the family's 1533-position model. The record is from RNAcentral.